Molecule: ribosomal RNA, 468 nt
Filed under: uncultured bacterium
Lineage: Bacteria
Description: partial 16S ribosomal RNA
Rfam family: Bacterial small subunit ribosomal RNA
Source: RNAcentral
GACGAACGCUGGCGGCGUGCUUAACACAUGCAAGUCGAACGGAAAGGCCCUGCUUUUGUGGGGUGCUCGAGUGGCGAACGGGUGAGUAAAACGUGAGUAUCCUGCCCUUGACUUUGGGAUAACUUCAGGAAAAUGGGGCUAAUACCGGAUAGGAGCUCCUGCUGCAUGGUGGGGGUUGGAAAGUUUCGGCGGUUGGGGAUGGACUCGCGGCUUAUCCGCUUGUUGGUGGGGUAGUGGCAUACCAAGGCUUUGACGGGUAGCCGGCCUGAGAGGGUGACCGGCCACAUUGGGACUGAGAUACGGCCCAGACUCCUACGGGAGGCAGCAGUGGGGAAUAUUGCACAAUGGGCGGAAGCCUGAUGCAGCAACGCCGCGUGCGGGAUGACGGCCUUCGGGUUGUAAACCGCUUUCGCCUGUGACGAAGCGUGAGUGACGGUAAUGGGUAAAGAAGCACCGGCUAACUACGUG